UCCAAAUAUUAUGAUAAUAUAACAUCAAUUUCCAAUACCAGAAUGAGAAUGUGGAUGACUCUUGUAAAAGGACUCACUAGAACAUUUGUCCAAUUUCAUGAAAACUGCAUUCUCUGAAAAUAUAUUUGUGAGUGACUUGGUCCAGUUUAUUAACCAAUAAAUUCCUGAAAAAAAGUGUUUAAUCCUUAAUAUUAUUCUUUAAUUUUGGCAAAAAAAAAUAAAAAAUUCCACACUCGUUAUCACCAUUAUAGGGUAAUACAUGUAGUAUAUUUGUGUCAUUGAAUUGGCCAGGCACAUAAAUUUAUUUGUUGGUUCACGCAAAAAUAUGUACUCCAUGUUACUUAAAGUCUUAUUAUGAUCAUCAAAGGAAUUUUUUGUGUUUGUAUUCAGAUAAAUAGUUUUAACAUUGAGUCAGAUUAUGUUACAUGUACUAUACUAUAGCCUCAUUGAUUACAAAUAGAAGUUUGGUCAACGUCCUCUAUCGAGAAAUAAACAACUUCAUGAACAACUACUGGAGGUCCUUUCAACCAAUUUUAUAAAAGUCUCUAUUAUGCAAAUCGUAUAAAAAGUAUGAUAAUAUAAUAUCAACAUAUAUAUAUAUCCAUGUCAUUGAGAAUGUGGAUUAAACUUGCAAAAGUGUUUAGUCUCAAGGGACUCACUGAAACGUUUGUCCAAUUUCAUAAAAACUGCAAUCUUUAAAAAAAAAUUUUCCAUUAAAACUUCAUAUAAAACAAUUGUUUUGCCCAUAGAUCAGAUUGCUACAACAAAUCUUUAAAAAAAAAUGUUGAAAAAAUGGUGGGGUGGGGAUGGGGCAAGAUGGUAAAGCAUUGGAACUGACAAUAUUGUUACUUUUAUACGACCUUAUGAGUCCCCCUCAUUUCUAAUUUAUGGCCUAGCCUAAUGCUUAUUAUGUUGGUUUAUGUAUAUAAAUUAAAGUUAUCUCCCCUUUAUUAAGAAUCAGUUGAUAACUUUGAUAACUAUUGACUUAUAUUGUUACAAUAGCACCUACUUUUGUAUAAAAGUUCAUAAUGAUCUGAUGAAAAAUUUGUCAAUCAAAUAAAAAAUCUGUAUGAGAAAUAAUCCGUCAGGC
This 1090-nucleotide long non-coding RNA is filed under the name Mytilus galloprovincialis (Mediterranean mussel). Lineage: Eukaryota; Metazoa; Mollusca; Bivalvia; Mytilida; Mytilidae. The record is from RNAcentral.